Molecule: long non-coding RNA, 2198 nt
Organism: Drosophila obscura
Lineage: Eukaryota; Metazoa; Arthropoda; Insecta; Diptera; Drosophilidae
Exons: 3
Source: RefSeq, a predicted model, not a curated record
GUUAUUUUCGCCCCGACCAAGUGUGUUUGUGUUCCAUCUGGCGUUAUCUAUUACGUGGUGCAGCAAACGCGACUCUACACUGCGUGACAAUGGAAGCACACACAAAACAAGAAAUUGGUUCAGAAAAACGACCCCGACCAUGCGACCCACUUCUGGAGCGAACAGGAAAUGCAUUGCAGCCAAGACGCUGAACCCCGACAUAUGUGCAAUAUCCACCCAUCGUACCCAUCGUACUAGCCAAUAGAUUCCAGAUCGUGGGCCCAAGCGGUCCCCUAGAGCUAUAGAGCUAGAGCUAGAGCCCCAUCGGGGGCGACAGCUUUCAAUCAGUCAAAGCCAAAUCGAGCGUGAAACAAGACACAUGGAGCCACAUCCAAUGUUUUUUUUUCCAUUCCGUGUGUUUAUGUUCAACGUUCGAGUAGAGGCAAAUUUUAAACACGUUUUAGGUUUUGUAUUUUAAUGAGGAGAGCCCCCGAGCGUCGCUGGCACGUCGAUCAGUCGGACCGGACCGUCUGGCUGCUCGUCAACAGUGAUUAACUUUAAAGAACAUUGCCACCCAGCAAAAACAACAAUAACAGCUUUAACAGUCGAGUGUCUGAGGAUUGUUUAUACAGUUGUGUCGCAAUAAAUAGGAUCGCCCUGGGGGAACCGGAGGAGGGGUAAAGGUAGCCCCACGAAGGUAAGCGUUGUGUUGCACCACCACCACACCACCCCCACAGAUAAUGAUUCUUUGUCCUUUGCACUCACUGGUGGGAGAGGGAGUGGGACCGGGCACAUCCGAUGCCGGACGCGACACGAAGGGCGGGCGUUUAACGAAACAAGAAAUGAGAUAAUAAUAACAAAAAGCGCACAAACGCAGUGCUGCCUUCAACAACAACACAACGAAGAACAAACACAAAGCAGAGAGCGGAAAAUACACGCGGGGGUCCAAAGGGGGCAGAAGGCGGGGCUAUGGAGCAACAAUGCAAGUGAUGCGCCGCAAGAUACACUCGUAGACAAAUGGAUGGCAGAAGGCGAGAAGGAAAAAAGGCAGCACACACACAAUCACCGUCACAGAACACAGAUACACUCGCACACAGAUGCAACCACGAAUGCUUGCUUGCUGCCGCCGAUUCUAAACAAGUUGAUGAACUCUGCUCGCCAGCUACGGCGUCAGCGUCAGCGUCGGCAUCAGCGUCACAGAGAGGAAGAGAACCACAGUUCAGUUUUAUUUUUCACAAGUACAUGGGCAUAUGUAUCUGUACAUAUGUGGCUGAGGUUUUUGCAGUUAACCAACUGCACACGCACACACACAGACACUCACGGGUAGACGGUGAGAAAACAACGUCGCGACGGGGCUGCUGGCUUGUUGGUACGACGCGAGCGCACACGUUGCUUUUCAGUUUUUUCGCUCAAAUAUAACAAAAUACCUAAAUGCUAACUGAAUUCCGUUGCUUUUCCGGCGAGUGCUAAGAACGGAAUGAGAAUGGACAGCCAUAGCAAAGAAUAAUUUUACAAGAUACAAGAUACAGCAGAGGCAGCGGCAGCGGCAGCAGCAGCGACUGCGUGGAACGCGGAACAGAGCGACGUCGAAACGGAAUGGAACGACGCGACCAAAAAACUCACUCAACCAGUUAUCGCUGAGACAAAGAACGAGUGCGAGAGAGAGGCAUGGCAGGCAAAAUCUAGUUUCACAGUGGAAUGGAGUGGCACUCGGAACAUGAUGUAUGUAUUUACAUCUGUAUGUAUGUAUGUAUAGAUAGCUAGGCAGCGUUGGAAUCGUUGGCAGCGCAGCCGGCGAUGAGACUGACCUCUGACAACCUCCUACACAGACACGCACACUAGUGUAAGGAGAGCGUACCAGCGCCAGAACAUAAAUUGCGCGAGGGAGCAGUGCACUCCAGAGCAAUGCAAGUGAGAGAGGAGUAAACGAGAGAGUGUGUGUGUGUGUGUAUGUGGGAACAGUGGGAGCAAAGGGAAGAAAUUUCAGUGGGCACGGGAAACUUCUUGGGCACAAAUGCAAAGUUUUCCAAGAAUGAGUCAAAGCUUAAAAUUAAUUUUUAUUUAUUCAUAUGUAUAUGUAUUAUAUAACAUCAUUUAUUUCUGUAUUGUCCAUACAAUUUGCAUAAACAGGAAUUGAGUUGCAGGUACAAUACAAAGCAACAACAAAACCAGCCGAGCUGAACUGUUAUUUCUUGUUCUCUUUUGGUCUUUCUCUUCGA